AGCAGCCGCCACGGGAAUACAGAGGGUGCGAGCGUUAAUCGGAUUUACUGGGCGUAAAGCGUGCGUAGGCGGCUUUUUAAGUCGGAUGUGAAAUCCCUGAGCUUAACUUAGGAAUUGCAUUCGAUACUGGGAAGCUAGAGUAUGGGAGAGGAUGGUAGAAUUCCAGGUGUAGCGGUGAAAUGCGUAGAGAUCUGGAGGAAUACCGAUGGCGAAGGCAGCCAUCUGGCCUAAUACUGACGCUGAGGUACGAAAGCAUGGGGAGCAAACAGGAUUAGAUACCCGUGUAGUCCCUGUCUCUUAUAC
RNAcentral lists this ribosomal RNA (303 nucleotides) under uncultured bacterium. RNAcentral's name for it is "partial 16S ribosomal RNA". It matches the Rfam family "Bacterial small subunit ribosomal RNA", at positions 507 to 807 of the family's 1533-position model. The record is from RNAcentral.